AGCGAACGCUGGCGGCAGGCUUAACACAUGCAAGUCGAACGGUCCUUCGGGAUAGUGGCGGACGGGUGAGUAACACGUGGGAACGUACCCUUAGGUUCGGAACAACACAGGGAAACUUGUGCUAAUACCGGAUAAGCCCUUCGGGGGAAAGAUUUAUCGCCUUUGGAGCGGCCCGCGUCUGAUUAGCUUGUUGGUGAGGUAAUGGCUCACCAAGGCUACGAUCAGUAGCUGGUCUGAGAGGAUGGCCAGCCACACUGGGACUGAGACACGGCCCAGACUCCUACGGGAGGCAGCAGUGGGGAAUCUUGCGCAAUGGGCGAAAGCCUGACGCAGCCAUGCCGCGUGGAUGAUGAAGGUCUUAGGAUUGUAAAAUCCUUUCACCGGGGGAUAAUGACGGUACCCGGAGAAGAAGCCCCGGCUAACUUCGUGCCAGCAGCCGCGGUAA
Molecule: ribosomal RNA, 445 nt
Filed under: uncultured bacterium
Lineage: Bacteria
Description: partial 16S ribosomal RNA
Rfam family: Bacterial small subunit ribosomal RNA
Source: RNAcentral